UCACUAAGAGGACGUACCGUUUUAGUCAUUAAAUUAACGUUUUACUGACGUCUAUUUGGGGUCACUAUCAGUACCUCUAGUGUAAAUUUAAUCGACAUCAUAACUUGACGAACGCGUUUGCGUUAAGUCUCAUUUUGUAUAGGAUUUUGAGUUUCCACAAACGUGCCCGGAACUUUUAUCACUUCUGAUCACAUGUGCGAUAAAAUUAGCCCAUAUUAUAUUUACAAAUCUGUACGUCCGCCCAUUCAAAUUUCUGUUAUGCCAAACCACGUGCGUAAAACUCAUUAGCACCGUUGUAAUACUUAUCAAGAUGUUUACUAAUGAGCGAAGUUCCGCUAAUUAGUUGUAAAAACACCGCCAAAGUUGUAAAAACUGACCUACCCGACGAGUACUGAAUAAACAAUUGACUAUUGAAUUUCAAUUGUCUGUUUGACGACAACUUUAUCGAUUUCUACGGGCGUAUUGGAGGUGAAUACACUUUGGUAUUCAAAUAAUCGGAAGUUCAAGGUUGGAAUUUAUUAGUAUAACUUGUGACUAAUCCGUUACAUGGAUUAGAUAACAGCUGUACACAUAUUAGUUUGAACGUAACACUUUCCCCAAUCUUAGGUUAAGAAUUUUUGGCUUCUAUAGCGCUUCUGAUUAUUUUUUAGGUUAUUAUGGAAGUAGCUAACCUAAGGACCAAUCAAAGCUAACAGUAAUUACUGGUCUCAGCACUUGAUAUGAAAAAUAAGUGAAGAUUUCUUAUCUUCAGUCGGUAAGAUACAGACCGAUGUUAACUGUUUCCACAGAUUGCAUAAAUAGCAAUUAACGUUGCCCAUAAAAUUUCUCGAUACUCACAAAAGCGUGAAGCUAGCACAAAAUUACUAUUUGCACUUUAAGGUAUGUCGUUUCAAGAAUUUCCCUUGAAAAAAACGGGAUAGUUUUUGGUGCGCAUGCAGGUAAAAAAUUGUAUCAUAACUUGUCUUAAAAUUGCAGUUUUAAUUGAUAGUACAAUUCAAAAUUACCAAUAUAGUGUCAUUAUUUUUGCAAAUGCCUGUUCCAAAUUAAAAAGCAUUAGUAACAACAAAAUUUGUUACGUUGCUUUUGAGCAGGCACUAAACAAUACCAAAUGUUUAGUCAUUAUAAUCCAUUUUGACCUUGCUAAGAAUCGAGUUACGCUUCUAGAAACUUGCGGGCUCUGAUAUCAGCAAACAUUCUGGGUUUCGAAUUUUGGUUUCUAUAUUAAUGUCGACUUUGAUUGAUAGCAUCUUUGAAUGUUUGAACCAUAUUUGUACCUGUUUUCUGAAAGAAACUGCGCAGUUUUCAAAUUUAGGGAACUUAUACUUCUUCUGAUUCUUUGAUUACAAAUUUCUGGUAUUUUCAAGGCUCUGAUCUCAAUUAUUGAGAGAAUAAGAAAAUUUUUCUGGCUCUUGUAUUGCAUUAUUAGGCAUGCUAUGAAAUAAUUAGUGAUGAAUAUCACAAGCCUGUUAAAUUCCGCUUAUUGAGAAAAUGAUGCAACUUUUCAAUUAGUCUAAUAAUAUGUUUAAAAAAAAAUUCUGUGGAACUGAACGUUUGGGUUCAGUACCGCGGCUGAACAUUGCGUCAUCAUUAUUGUUAUACGACGUGUGUACGUGAUGUUUUCGCUCACCUGCGAUCUGCCGGCGGCUUGAGGAGGUUGCGGGGGGCGGGAGGGAGAUCGCGUCGAGAGCGCGCUCUGCCCAGAGGCUUCGCCUUUUUGAACGCAACCGACAGACGAUAAACACGUUGCUUUAGCUGUUAACCAGUUGAACGCUCGUUCACAUUCAAAAAUGGCGAAUUAGGGAGAUUUCGUGUUCCUGCUGUCAGCGUGUACGAGAUUGCUACCGUGUGUCCUAGUCCCCUGGGUCGGAGCUCGUUUAUCCAUCGACUGGAGCCCCUUCCCUUUGUAAGUAUUUUUUUUAUUAUCGUUAAUAUUUGAAUAGCUAUUUAAAAUCGUAGAAAUGUGUCAAACGAUCGCUCAAGUUUAACUUUGUUCUAUAAAUCAGUAACCGGAUUACGGAGUAUUAACUUUGCCAGUUGUAAAUCGAGAUUUUCCCGCCAAUUUGGUGAUAAUGACACGUGGUGAGAAGAUCUAAAAAAUAGCGCAGAUUCUUUCUAGGUCAGGGUCGAACGUUGAACGACCGAUAGUAAUAUUUAGGAAUCUCAGCUUUAAAGCUUUUGUUUUAAUGAAUUAUAGUAAAAAUUUAAACAUACACUUAAACGUGUUGUGCAGUUGAAAUUAAACGUUUUUUUUUAGAUUAUCCUCUUAAGGCCCAAGGUCCUACCUAUAGGACUUAUUCAGUUCGAUGAAAUUUAAAUCAUAUUCAAUUAGGACAGAGUUGCAUUUGUUUUGUUUCGUGCAAUUUUCAAACAAAAUAAAAUCUACUGUAUUCCGUGCACUAUAGGUUCAAAUUCCAGUGGCAAAUUGUGGAUUUUUCAUUUCUAUGGCUGGGCCUUAAGAGGUUAAAACCACUAGGUAUUUUUCCAGUCUAUAGGCUCUAUAGAAAUUGGGUCGAUGAAGUUUAAUCAAAAAAAAUUAUUACGUAAGAUUACAUCUAUUUGUUUUUAAGUGUACCUACAGUGACAUAAAUUUUCCACUUUUGUUUUUCCGUGUUACUUCCGAUUUCAUUUGGUCCUUUCUCUGCGCGCGGGAAGUAGUUCACCCAACAUUCUUAGACAAUGAGUCACACCUGACCUUGGGAGUUUUUACACGUGUCGAACUUUGAACUUGCGCAAUUGUUACCAGAUAAGUUAUCAGAUAGUUAAAGAUUUUCGUAACUAUAAUAGAUUAUAGAGUUAAGAUGGUUUUGAUUAAGAGAUAAUAAAGUUUGUUUUUGACUGUUCCAAGAUCAAGAAGUCAUCCUGAGGAUCUAUUCGAAGGAGAAAAUGGAGGACCAGGAGAGCCAAGCCCUUCAGUCAGAAUUUACAGAGCACCAACUAAUGGGUUUAAAAAUGAGCCUUCGAGGUCUGGAAGGAAGACAUCAACGAUUGAACCAUCACAUAUCAGGGAACCUUCGACUUCCACCGAAGCUGAUCAGCAGAGAAGAGGUCAUGGCUGCCACCACAAUCAUGAAAUGGAACAAGAGACUCACCGCCAAGAAACUUCCAUUCCCCAAAACCAACUACCCAACAUCGAAUUCCAUUUCAAGAUAAAUUUCGGCGCACAUUGGGGCCAAAGAGUGGAAUCUGGGACUUCUUCGGACCAAAGGAAUUCCGAAUCAGCCCGGAGCCAACCGCUGAUCCGCCAGGAAUUUAACUUUGGCUCGAUGCCUUAUCCUCUGAGGGCAAGGCAGGCAGAGCCUCAUCCUGAAGGACAUCCCCACCGUCAUCAGGCCCACCACGACGAAAGCAAGACUGGGCAGCAGGGAGCUAGACCCCGUGAGACUAAUCCUAAGGCUGAUCUAUUAGUAGAUAUUUUAGGAAAUAAGGAUUUGUAAUCUCGACUGAUUGUUAAGGAAUGUUUUUUAUUUAUUUAUCGGUUGAACAUUCCAUAUAGUUCCUAAGAUAUAAACUUACGUAUAGAGAUCUGAUUUUCGAGUCACAAAAUUGGUUGUGUUAUUCGGUUCGAGUACUUAUUAUAAAAGACAUGAAAGACCAAAUUAACUUUUAACCGUCCGAGGCUUGUAUUAGUAAUUCUGCAGAGUAUUUAAUAUUUAUGAAUUAUAGUAUUAUAUUCACAGUAUUUUAGAAUCUCGUAAUUUCACA
Cydia pomonella (codling moth) is the source of this 3702-nucleotide RNA transcript. RefSeq lists it as uncharacterized. The transcript is spliced from 3 exons. The record is from RefSeq and is a predicted model, not a curated record. NCBI's taxonomy places the organism in Eukaryota, Metazoa, Arthropoda, Insecta, Lepidoptera, Tortricidae.